GGAGGGUGCAAGCGUUGUCCGGAUUUAUUGGGUUUAAAGGGUGCGUAGCGGUCUUUUAAGUCAGUGGUGAAAUCCUGCAGCUCAACUGUAGAACAGCCAUUGAUACUGAAAGACUUGAGUACAGACGAGGUAGGCGGAAUUUAUGGUGUAGCGGUGAAAUGCAUAGAUACCAUAAAGAACCCCUAUUGCGAAGGCAGCUUACUAGGCUGUAACUGACGCUGAGGCACGAAAGCGUGGGGAUCAAACAGGAUUAGAUACCCUGGUAGUCCACGCCGUAAACGAUGAUUACUCGAUGUUCGCGAUAUACAGUGAGCGUCCAAGCGAAAGCGUUAAGUAAUCCACCUGGGAAGUACGAUCGCAAGAUUG
RNAcentral lists this ribosomal RNA (366 nucleotides) under uncultured organism. Its description in RNAcentral is "bacterial SSU rRNA". It matches the Rfam family "Bacterial small subunit ribosomal RNA", at positions 527 to 896 of the family's 1533-position model. The record is from RNAcentral.